This 460-nucleotide ribosomal RNA is filed under the name uncultured bacterium. Its description in RNAcentral is "partial 16S ribosomal RNA". It matches the Rfam family "Bacterial small subunit ribosomal RNA", at positions 338 to 795 of the family's 1533-position model. The record is from RNAcentral.
CCUACGGGAGGCAGCAGUGAGGAAUAUUGGUCAAUGGACGAGAGUCUGAACCAGCCAAGUAGCGUGAAGGAUGACUGCCCUAUGGGUUGUAAACUUCUUUUAUAUGGGAAUAAAAUGUUCCACGUGUGGGCUUUUGUAUGUACCAUAUGAAUAAAGAUCGGCUAACUCCGUGCCAGCAGCCGCGGUAAUACGGAGGAUCCGAGCGUUAUCCGGAUUUAUUGGGUUUAAAGGGAGCGUAGGUGGAUUGUUAAGUCAGUUGUGAAAGUUUUGGGCUCAACCGUAAAAUUGCAGUUGAAACUGGCAGUCUUGAGUACAGUAGAGGUGGGCGGAAUUCGUGGUGUAGCGGUGAAAUGCUUAGAUAUCACGAAGAACUCCGAUUGCGAAGGCAGCUCACUGGACUGCAACUGACACUGAGGCUCGAAAGUGUGGGUAUCAAACAGGAUUAGAUACCCGAGUAGUC